This 461-nucleotide ribosomal RNA is filed under the name uncultured bacterium. Its description in RNAcentral is "bacterial SSU rRNA". It matches the Rfam family "Bacterial small subunit ribosomal RNA", at positions 29 to 524 of the family's 1533-position model. The record is from RNAcentral.
AACGAACGCUGGCGGCAUGCCUAACACAUGCAAGUCGAACGGGAUCCAGGCUUCGGCCUGGUGAGAGUGGCGGACGGGUGAGUAACACGUGGGAGCCUGCCUUUUGGUUCGGGAUAACCGCGGGAAACUGCGGCUAAUACCGGAUGCUCCCGAGAGGGGAAAGAUUUAUCGCCAGAAGAGGGGCCCGCGUCCGAUUAGGGUAGUUGGUGAGGUAAUGGCUCACCAAGCCGACGAUCGGUAGCUGGUCUGAGAGGAUGAUCAGCCACACUGGGACUGAGAUACGGCCCAGACUCCUACGGGAGGCAGCAGUGGGGAAUAUUGGACAAUGGGGGCAACCCUGAUCCAGCAAUGCCGCGUGAGUGAUGAAGGCCUUAGGGUUGUAAAGCUCUUUUGCCAGGGAAGAUGAUGACUGUACCUGGAGAAUAAGCCCCGGCUAACUUCGUGCCAGCAGCCGCGGUAAU